UACACUUGAGUAUUUAUGUAUAAGAAUUUUUGAUAUUCUAGGUAAUAGAGGAAUCUAUUAGGUGUAU
RNAcentral lists this transfer RNA (67 nucleotides) under Anthonomus pomorum (apple weevil). Its description in RNAcentral is "tRNA-Gln". The record is from RNAcentral. Lineage: Eukaryota; Metazoa; Arthropoda; Insecta; Coleoptera; Curculionidae.